RNAcentral lists this unclassified non-coding RNA (155 nucleotides) under Ruegeria halocynthiae. RNAcentral describes it as "6S / SsrS RNA". The record is from RNAcentral. Lineage: Bacteria; Pseudomonadati; Pseudomonadota; Alphaproteobacteria; Rhodobacterales; Roseobacteraceae.
CGGGUUCUGCCCUUCUUGUGAUAGGUAGCAUUCUGGUGGCCUUAAGCAAUUCCGAGGGGGCUGGCUCUGUUCAGGUCCUGGCCUGAUUACCUGGCGCCCACCUGUACAUACAGGUCCUCGGGAAUCAAACCGCACGGUUGACUGGUGGUCCCGCC